GAAUUUUGGACAAUGGGGGCAACCCUGAUCCAGCCAUCCCGCGUGUGCGAUGAAGGCCUUCGGGUUGUAAAGCACUUUUGGCAGGGAAGAAACGGCUCUGGCUAAUACCUGGAGCUGCUGACGAUACCUGCAGAAUAAGCACCGGCUAACUACGUGCCCACAGCCGCGGUAACAAGGAGGGUGCAAUCGUUAAUCGGAAUUACUGGGCGUAAAGCGUGCGCAGGCGGUUCGGCAAGAAGGAUGUUAAAUCCCAGGGCUUAACCUUGGAACUGCAUUCUUAACUGCCGGGCUAGAGUAUGUCAGAGGGGGGUAGAAUUCCGCGUGUAGCAGUGAAAUGCGUAGAGAUGCGGAGGAAUACCGAUGGCGAAGGCAGCCCCCUGGGAUAAUACUGACGCUCAUGCACGAAAGCGUGGGGAGCAAAC
Molecule: ribosomal RNA, 422 nt
Filed under: uncultured bacterium
Lineage: Bacteria
Description: bacterial SSU rRNA
Rfam family: Bacterial small subunit ribosomal RNA
Source: RNAcentral